AACAGUAGAUGUUGCAUGACAUUUGCUUAAAAGGUGCAAUUGCAUCACUACCAGAUGGACCUGCGUUGUAUUAGCUAGUUGGUGGGGUAACGGCUCACCAAGGCGACGAUACAUAGCCGACCUGAGAGGGUGAUCGGCCACACUGGGACUGAGACACGGCCCAGACUCCUACGGGAGGCAGCAGUAGGGAAUCUUCGGCAAUGGACGGAAGUCUGACCGAGCAACGCCGCGUGAGUGAAGAAGGUUUUCGGAUCGUAAAGCUCUGUUGUAAGAGAAGAACGAGUGUGAGAGUGGAAAGUUCACACUGUGACGGUAUCUUACCAGAAAGGGACGGCUAACUACGUGCCAGCAGCCGCGGUAAUACGUAGGUCCCGAGCGUUGUCCGGAUUUAUUGGGCGUAAAGCGAGCGCAGGCGGUUAGAUAAGUCUGAAGUUAAAGGCUGUGGCUUAACCAUAGUACGCUUUGGAAACUGUUUAACUUGAGUGCAAGAGGGGAGAGUGGAAUUCCAUGUGUAGCGGUGAAAUGCGUAGGUAUAUGGAGGAACACCGGUGGCGAAAGCGGCUCUC
RNAcentral lists this ribosomal RNA (566 nucleotides) under uncultured Bacilli bacterium. RNAcentral's name for it is "bacterial SSU rRNA". It matches the Rfam family "Bacterial small subunit ribosomal RNA", at positions 173 to 729 of the family's 1533-position model. The record is from RNAcentral. Lineage: Bacteria; Bacillati; Bacillota; Bacilli.